AUUGAACGCUGGCGGCAGGCCUAACACAUGCAAGUCGAGCGGUUGAAGGGAGCUUGCUCCUGGAUUCAGCGGCGGACGGGUGAGUAAUGCCUAUGAAUCUGCCUGGUAGUGGGGGAUAACGUCCGGAAACGGGCGCUAAUACCGCAUACGUCCUGAGGGAGAAAGUGGGGGUUCUUCGGACCUCACGCUAUCAGAUGAGCCUAGGUCGGAUUAGUUAGUUGGUGGGGUAACGGCCUACCAAGGCGACGAUCCGUAACUGGUCUGAGAGGAUGAUCAGUCACACUGGAACUGAGACACGGUCCAGACUCCUACGGGAGGCAGCAGUGGGGAAUAUUGGACAAUGGGCGAAAGCCUGAUCCAGCCAUGCCGCGUGUGUGAAGAAGGUCUUCGGAUUGUAAAGCACUUUAAGUUGGGAGGAAGGGCAGUAAGUUAAUACCUUGCUGUUUUGACGUUACCAACAGAAUAAGCACCGGCUAACUUCGUG
This 484-nucleotide ribosomal RNA is filed under the name uncultured bacterium. Its description in RNAcentral is "partial 16S ribosomal RNA". It matches the Rfam family "Bacterial small subunit ribosomal RNA", at positions 30 to 507 of the family's 1533-position model. The record is from RNAcentral.